Molecule: long non-coding RNA, 721 nt
Organism: Anopheles merus
Lineage: Eukaryota; Metazoa; Arthropoda; Insecta; Diptera; Culicidae
Exons: 2
Source: RefSeq, a predicted model, not a curated record
UGUGGUUGUGUUGCACGGAUGUCACGGAUUAGCGGGCGCAUUUGCACAGACAGCAGAGCGAUUACGAUACAACCAUCAUCAUAGUAGGCACAAUGCUUGAGAUUGCAGGGCGGCAGCGAGCGCGUAUCAUUCUUUCCGUGUGUUUACAAAAUGGCUGUGUGUGUGUGUUUUUAAAAUUGUGAAUAGUGAAAUUUUACAUACAGUUAGCAUUCUAUUAGAAACUGGUUAAUACUCUGAUGUGCUUUGCAAUUCAUUGUAAUACUUUUUAGAUGCUCAUUUGCUCGAUUGUUUUUUUUUUAGAAAGAUAAGUAAGAGAGAAUCAGUAAUCGGGGGACGGUUUUGCAAGCGAAACACGAGCCGUUUGGUUUUGGAUUUUUACAGAGAUGUGUUAACUGUACACUGUAGCGGAUCUCACUCUAUCUAUUUUCGAAUCAACGAAAUCAUUUCGGACUCGAGUAUUUCUUCUUUCAAUCAAUUUGGUCCCAGCCCUGCAGUAAUCUACCAUUCGAUUGGGAAGCUUAAGCGGAAGCUUGGGAUGCUGGAAAUUGAGAUAGCUUUCGCGGAAGAGUUGAUAUCGGUUACAGUGUGACGGGUGUGAAUAAAACAGUUGGAGUGAAAAAUUGGCUUUUCAUCAGAACCAUAACAUGCAGGAGUCCUCUUGGCCGUGCUGCAAAAUGUCAGUGGUAAUGUCAUAAAAAAUUCUGACUGACUCAAACUUUCA